UGGAAGGUGUUUAGUAUUGAUCCAGUAUGUGGUGACAGUUGUCAACUUGCGCCGUGGACCUGCUGGUUGAACUCUUCGAUCCUCUCUGGAGGGAAUAAUAUCUCUGUAGCACAACAUGCCGAAAAGGAAGUCUCCUGAAGGGGCCCAUGCCAAGGAUGCCUCCAAGGUCACCAAGCAGAAGGUCACCAAGCAGGAGCCCACCAGGCGGUCAGAGAGGUUGUCAUCGG
Salvelinus sp. IW2-2015 is the source of this 227-nucleotide non-coding RNA. NCBI's taxonomy places the organism in Eukaryota, Metazoa, Chordata, Actinopteri, Salmoniformes, Salmonidae. The record is from RefSeq and is a predicted model, not a curated record.